RNAcentral lists this long non-coding RNA (1050 nucleotides) under Chinchilla lanigera (long-tailed chinchilla). RNAcentral's name for it is "lncRNA (ENSCLAG00000027164.1)". Lineage: Eukaryota; Metazoa; Chordata; Mammalia; Rodentia; Chinchillidae. The record is from RNAcentral.
CAGAAUUUUGUGAUUUUGUAAUCCCUUGGGAACCAAUGAAAUCCCAGAUGAGUCUAGUUAAUAAUCUACAAUUAUUGGUUAAAGAACUAUAUUAGGGCUGAUUUGCUGCCGUCCAUCCACUUUUCUAUCCACCCCACAAGCAUUGGGCACAAUGAAGUGGGUAACCUUUAUUUCCCUUCUCUUCCUUUUCAGCUCUGCUUAUUCCAGGGGUGUGUUUCGUCGAGAAGCACACAAGAGUGAGAUUGCUCAUCGAUUUACAGAUUUGGGAGAAGGACAUUUCAAAGGCCUGUAAGUUAAAGAAUCAACAUUAAUGUUCUUGAUAGCAUUGGUUACUACUCUGAAGUCGUCAUAUUCCAGAUUCUAGCAGAGUACCGUCCAACAGAAUUUUCUCCAUUGAUGGAAAUAUUCUAUAUCAGUCUGUUUGAUAUGGUAGCCAUGGCCCACACGUGGCUAUUGAAUACUUUAAAUAUGGCUACUGAGGAGCAAAACUUCUAAUUGUUUUUAAUUUUAAUUAAUUAAAUUUAUAAAAUCACAUAUGGUUAGUUUCUAUUAUUGGACAUUGAAACUAUGGAACUUUCAUGCAGCAGUGAGAAGGACAGUAGUAUAUAUCUCUGUUGUCAGCCUACUUGCAAGGGGAAUCCUUUUACAUAGCAAGUAGUCCUGUAGUUUCUUGGGAACAUUUUAAUAACUUUUUAACCUAGUAAAAAUGCUUAUCUUUUUUGAAGGGUCAGUAUUGUCAUACAGCCUCAUUAAAUGAGAUGUUUAGGCUUUGUGGGGGUUUGUGUGUGUGUAUGUGUGUGUGUGUGUGUGUGUGUGUGUGUAUGUGUUUUAAAUAACUGAAAGGACUUAUGUAAUGUCUCAUCUUAACAAAUCAAUCUACUUAUUAUAUAUCUGCCUUUUGCCCUAAACAUGUGUAUAUACUGGUAUGCACACAUAUACACUCAGAUAUGGUGGAACUACAUAUCCUCUUUGCUGAGGAAGUUGCAUAUACUUUGUUAGGCCUUUUCUAAUACCUGACAUGAAGAGGUUACCUAGAAAAUUAUAACAGAG